GACGUAGGUGGCGAACGUUAUCCGGAAUUAUUGGGCGUAAAGGAUGCGUAGAUGGUGUAGUAAGUUAUCGGUGGCAAAUCGAGGCUCAACCUCGUGGAAGUCGGUAAUACUGCUAUGCUAGAGGAUAGGAGAGGUUAACGGAACUCCCUGUGGAGCGGUGAAAUGCGUAGAUAUAGGGAAGAACACCAAUAAGGCGAAGGCAGUUAACUAUUCUAUUCCUGACAUUGAGGCAUGAAAGCGUGGGGAGCAAACAGG
Molecule: ribosomal RNA, 255 nt
Filed under: uncultured bacterium
Lineage: Bacteria
Description: partial 16S ribosomal RNA
Rfam family: Bacterial small subunit ribosomal RNA
Source: RNAcentral